GGUAUAGUAUAUAGGAGUUUCUAUGACCCAAGUUCGUUUUGUCUUACAAUCGACAAUUUCCGUGUGUUGCCGUUAUUCUCCGUGUGUGAUUUCGGCAUCCUUCUGUCAUGAUGGGAAAUUCCUUGAUGACGCUGCAAUUGUAUACUGAACAUAAAUCAGCGAAUGUCAUCUUCUAUCAGUUGUUUAUGUUUUAUCACUGUUUUCAACACAUAUUUUAUUUCUAUUGUUGUAGUUCGACAUAUCUUCUUUUUAAAAAUUUAAUUCAGUUUAAAUAAAAAUGUCGAAUUUUGGCUUCUUUUUUCAUUGAUCGAACUUCUUAACAAUAUGUUUUCAAAUGGGUAAUACAAGAAAAGAAUUCGAAAAAAAGCUAGCACUAUCUUUGUUCAUCUGUACCCCCACUAUGCUAGUUUUCGUAGCGUCUGAAAUUUGUAAGAAAGAGUGGACACCUUGAUAGAACCCCGCACAUCCAACAAGUGAACUUAAUGUUUUCCUCACAUGAAAGAAUUCUACUCCACACCGAGGUUUAGAACCUAUAUCGUCGAGAGGCAAGUAAAGUCACCGACCGUAGCCACUCGGGCAUGUAGGCCCGUCCUAGCAUUUAUAAAACUCUGAUCGUGUGGCGAAAUAUUCGAAUUUUUGUUCAUAGCAAAGAAAGUGACGUUCAAACAAUAAAAACACAAACAAUUUUAAUUAAGUAUUUUCCUUUAUAACAUAUAAACAACUUAGCUUUUAUUUUUUAACUUGUAAAGUAUGGAAUGGAAUGUCACUUAGAAUAUUUUUUUCAGGAUAGCCUCGUGUCUUAACUAUGCAGUGCGCCCCCUGGUGACACAUUGAUGCAUCCGGAUGAUACACAGCCAUCUUUCUGUUUGAUAGCAUGCGGUUCAUUGCAGAUUGUGACAGCAAAAAUGAUAUUAUGGCGAUAAGAGGAUGGUUAGAUACUGCAGCGACGAGAAUCAUUGAAGCUUACGUUGCCAACGUUACAGAUAGUGGACCCAGCAUAAAGACGUAUUACAUCACAGCGUUAUAUUUUACGUUUACGUGACUGACGUCAAUAGGAUUCGGAAACGUGUCACCAAAUACUAAGGAAUUGACAUGCCGGUAAAGAUGAUAUAUUUGGUGGUGACUGCAGUGACGUGGAAUGCUCGGGAAAAUCGUUCUAUUUUGUACGUGCCCUUAGUUACUGUGAUAUUAACAAGACAGAGUUACACGUGCUGAAAGAAACAAUGGAUAUAUAACCAGAAUUUUCAAAAAGAAUGAAUGGGUAAAAUACAAGUGACAUUCAAUCUUAAGAUGCUAAAUUGUGAUCUCUUUUGACAAAAGCUCGACGAAUGGGACCACAGAUCGGAGAAGAUGAGCCGACGUCUAGAGCAUUCGAAUUUUCUCCGCUAUCAGCAAGUAGUGGUAUAGAUACGGCGUUCAAAGACAGAUCAGUCAAGACGAACAGUUGACGGAUGUUUCAUUUCUCCAUCAGGUUCCAGCCAGUACGUCAAGGUUACAGUGUGUUUUCGGUGUAUCUAUAAGGUCAUAGUGUAACGCUGCGCGUGUUACGUCAAGUUUCUUUGGGGAAUUUUUUAGCUCAAAUUCAGUUUUUCGGGUAUUUAUUAUUUUUCGCUUGAGUCCACUUAAUUGAGGAAUUAGCAAAAUCCAGAUUCUAUUUCUUCUUUUAUUCAAUUUUCAACAACAAUAUAUGGAUGUCCACAUAAUAACAAUAAUUUCUAUAAACACAAUUAAAUCAAUUAAAACUUUGUAAUUAUCUAGUCGGAUAUCUCGACAUGAAACACAGAAGUAUGUCCUUCUUAUUUCGUAGGUAAAAAUCUUCUGUCUACAAUUAUUAUUGACUUUUUAUGAUGUUCAUGACAACAAUAAAAUUAACCAAUGAGAUUGCAGGAAACCUACAUGUCCCCUAGCAACAAAUCUCGCAUACCGCGAUACCUAGUGAGAUUUCACGUGAUUUCACGCGACCAGGGACCUCUGUCCUUGCGUGUCAAAAGAUUAUUAUCUCAUAAACAGAUAUUAAGAUUAUAUAAUAAAAUGGGUAACGUCUUUUGACGUCGUCAUUGACGUCGUACUUUCCUGUGACGUCAUACUAUUUUGUUAUUAUACUCUGAUGAAGUCCAAUGGACGAAACAUGUUAGUUUUGAAGUAAAAAGUAUAUUUCUGGAGUUAGUUCUUCGCUUUAUCUAUUACUUAUAUAAUAAAAUGCAGUAAGACCAUUAACAGACGUAUAAUAGCAAUUAGUUUGACACUGCAAGAUCUUAUCAAUGUUUAGUACGAAAUAAAACAUUUUUAUAAUGACAGCAUGUAAAUUCUUUUUGUUCUUUUAAAAUUAUUGACAAAGUUCGAGUUUUUACAUAUACAUGUACAACCAUUUUUAAACAUUUCUAAAACAAAUUUUUGAAAGUUUUAAACACUAAUGUCACCGCAUGACAAUUCUUAGAAACAUUAGACAGUUGAGCGCCCUCUGGUAGUCGGCGCAUUUCCAGCUUUGAGCGCCCUCUGAUAGUCGGCGCAUUUCCGGGAAGCUGGUGAUACAGCGCAAUCUGGAAAAAAAUGAGACAGACGUCGCUGUCUAACCUCGAGGAAAUCGACUGCAAGUGAAACUAUUUAGCAAAGUAUACGAAUAUAACAUGGAUUUUUAAGAUCUUCCUUGUUGAAGAAAUUUCAUGUAACAUGGUGCUGCCUUCCAGCCGCAUUGAAAUUAUAAAAAUGAGAUUAGUGUUUUGUAUUUUCACAUCCUAAAUGAAAUUCAGCAGCGUUAAAGACACGCCUCAAAAUAACUGUCUUCUUUCGUAUUUCAGUGAUAAUAGUAAUACCUAAUGCCUAAAAAAUAUUAGGUAUACAAGCAUUUAGUUUCAAAUUGACAGUGACAUAUAUUAAGCCAAGACGAUGAGUUAAAUGUCUUAAUAUUUUAUUGUAUAAUUAAAUGUAGCAAUAUGUACAUAAGUCAGUGUAUUUAGUUAAAUUUCAAUCACAUGUCCGGUCCAUAUCUUUGUCAUCCAUGGAUGGAUUUUCAAGUAACUACGCAUAAAUGUGUGGCACAGUAAGGCGACGUGUCGUGCACAAGACCCAGGUCCGUAGCUCAAAGGUCAAGGUCACACUUAGACUUUAAAGGUCAUAUUUCAUGAUAGUGCAUUGAUGGGCGUGUCCGGUCCAUAUCUUUGUCAUUCAUGCAUGGAUUUUAAAAUUAUUGGGCAUGAAUGUGUACCACAGUAAGACGACGUGUCGUCCUAAACUCUAACAUCGGCCAUAACUAUUCAGUCAAAGUGCCAUCGGAGGCAUAUGUUAUCCUAUGGAGACAGCUCUUGUUGUGUA
This is a long non-coding RNA of Mercenaria mercenaria, 3312 nucleotides long. RefSeq lists it as uncharacterized. The record is from RefSeq and is a predicted model, not a curated record. The transcript is spliced from 5 exons. NCBI's taxonomy places the organism in Eukaryota, Metazoa, Mollusca, Bivalvia, Venerida, Veneridae.